This 433-nucleotide ribosomal RNA is filed under the name uncultured bacterium. RNAcentral's name for it is "partial 16S ribosomal RNA". It matches the Rfam family "Bacterial small subunit ribosomal RNA", at positions 29 to 507 of the family's 1533-position model. The record is from RNAcentral.
AACGAACGCUGGCGGCAUGCCUAACACAUGCAAGUCGAACGAGACCUCCGGGCCUAGUGGCGCACGGGUGCGUAACGCGUGGGAACCUGCCCUUAGGUUCGGAAUCCCUCACCGAAAGGUGUCCUAAAACCGCUUAAUGUCUUAGCACCAAGGAUCUUCGGCGUUUGGAUGGGCGCUGGUUGGUUUCGCCAGUUGGUAGGGUACAAGCAGCCCAUCGCCACGAUCCAUAGCUGGUCUGGGAGGAGGACCAGCUACACUGGGACUGAGACACGGCCCAGACUCGGACGGGACGCAGGAGUGGGGAAUAUUGGACAAUGGGCGAAAGCCUGAUCCAGCAAUGCCGGGUGAGUGAGGAAGGCCUUAGGGUUGUAAAGCUCUUUGACCCGGGAUGAGAAUGACAGUACCGGGAGAAUAAGCACCGGCUAACUCCGUG